GACGAACGCUGGCGGCGUGCCUAAUACAUGCAAGUAGAACGCUGAAGAGAGGAGCUUGCUCUUCUUGGAUGAGUUGCGAACGGGUGAGUAACGCGUAGGUAACCUGCCUGGUAGCGGGGGAUAACUAUUGGAAACGAUAGCUAAUACCGCAUAAAAUUGAUUAUUGCAUGAUAAUUAAUUGAAAGAUGCAACUGCAUCACUACCAGAUGGACCUGCGUUGUAUUAGCUAGUUGGUGAGGUAACGGCUCACCAAGGCGACGAUACAUAGCCGACCUGAGAGGGUGAUCGGCCACACUGGGACUGAGACACGGCCCAGACUCCUACGGGAGGCAGCAGUAGGGAAUCUUCGGCAAUAGGGGGAACCCUGACCGAGCAACGCCGCGUGAGUGAAGAAGGUUUUCGGAUCGUAAAGCUCUGUUGUAAGAGAAGAACGGGUGUGAGAGUGGAAAGUUCACACUGUGACGGUAUCUUACCAGAAAGGGACGGCUAACUACGUG
Molecule: ribosomal RNA, 497 nt
Filed under: uncultured bacterium
Lineage: Bacteria
Description: partial 16S ribosomal RNA
Rfam family: Bacterial small subunit ribosomal RNA
Source: RNAcentral